GACGAACGCUGGCGGCGUGCCUAAUACAUGCAAGUAGAACGCUGAAGGAGGAGCUUGCUUCUCUGGAUGAGUUGCGAACGGGUGAGUAACGCGUAGGUAACCUGCCUGGUAGCGGGGGAUAACUAUUGGAAACGAUAGCUAAUACCGCAUAAGAGUAGAUGUUGCAUGACAUUUGCUUAAAAGGUGCAAUUGCAUCACUACCAGAUGGACCUGCGUUGUAUUAGCUAGUUGGUGAGGUAACGGCUCACCAAGGCGACGAUACAUAGCCGACCUGAGAGGGUGAUCGGCCACACUGGGACUGAGACACGGCCCAGACUCCUACGGGAGGUAGCAGUAGGGAAUCUUCGGCAAUGGACGGAAGUCUGACCGAGCAACGCCGCGUGAGUGAAGAAGGUUUUCGGAUCGUAAAGCUCUGUUGUAAGAGAAGAACGAGUGUGAGAGUGGAAAGUUCACACUGUGACGGUAUCUUACCAGAAAGGGACGGCUAACUACGUG
RNAcentral lists this ribosomal RNA (495 nucleotides) under uncultured bacterium. RNAcentral describes it as "partial 16S ribosomal RNA". It matches the Rfam family "Bacterial small subunit ribosomal RNA", at positions 28 to 507 of the family's 1533-position model. The record is from RNAcentral.